This 255-nucleotide ribosomal RNA is filed under the name uncultured bacterium. RNAcentral describes it as "partial 16S ribosomal RNA". It matches the Rfam family "Bacterial small subunit ribosomal RNA", at positions 524 to 776 of the family's 1533-position model. The record is from RNAcentral.
UACGUAGGGGCCUAGCGUUGUCCGGAAUCAUUGGGCGUAAAGAGCUCGUAGGCGGUUCGGCAAGUCACGUGUGAAAUCUCCACGCUUAACGUGGAGGCGCCACGUGAAACUGCCGUGACUCGAGUCCGGUAGGGGAGUGUGGAAUUCCCGGUGUAGCGGUGAAAUGCGCAGAUAUCGGGAGGAACACCAGUAGCGAAGGCGGCACUCUGGGCCGGUACUGGACGCUGAGGAGCGAAAGCGUGGGGAGCGAACAGG